ACGCUGGCAGAAUGCUUAACACAUGCAAGUCGUGCGGUAACACUUCGGGUGACGAGCGGCGGACGGGUGCGUAACGCGUGAGAAUCUACCAUUUAGUGGGGGACAACCCGGGGAAACUCGGGCUAAUACCGCAUGUGUCCUACGGGAUAAAGCAGGGGAUCUUCGGACCUUGCGCUAAAUGAUGAGCUCGCGUGAGAUUAGCUUGUUGGUGAGGUAAAGGCUCACCAAGGCAACGAUCUCUAGCUGGUCUGAGAGGAUGAUCAGCCACACUGGGACUGAGACACGGCCCAGACUCCUACGGGAGGCAGCAGUGGGGAAUAUUGGACAAUGGGGGCAACCCUGAUCCAGCAAUUCUGCGUGUGUGAAGAAGGCCUGCGGGUUGUAAAGCACUUUCAGUAGCCAAGAUGGGAUUAAGUGUUAAUACCACUUAGUCUUGACAUUAACUACAGAAGAAGCACCGGCUAA
This 465-nucleotide ribosomal RNA is filed under the name uncultured bacterium. RNAcentral describes it as "bacterial SSU rRNA". It matches the Rfam family "Bacterial small subunit ribosomal RNA", at positions 33 to 500 of the family's 1533-position model. The record is from RNAcentral.